GACGAACGCUGGCGGCGUGCUUAACACAUGCAAGUCGAACGAUGAACCCGGAGCUUGCUCUGGGGGAUUAGUGGCGAACGGGUGAGUAACACGUGAGAAACCUGCCCUGGACUCUGGGAUAAGCGUUGGAAACGACGUCUAAUACCGGAUAGGACCUUGGAUCGCAUGAUCUGGGGUGGAAAGUUGUUUCGUUCUGGGAUGGACUCGCGGCCUCUCAGGUUGUUGGUGAGGCAAUGGCUCUGCAAGGCGUCGACGGGUAGCCGGCCUGGGAGGGGGAACGGCCACACUCGGACUGAUGCGCGGCACAGACUCCUUCGCGCGGCAGCACUGGGGAAUAUUGCUGCUUGGGCGAAAUCCUGAUGCAGCUACGCCGCGUGCGGGAUGCAGUCCUUCGGGUUGUUAGCCGCUUUUAGUAGGGAAGAAGGGCUUCGGCUUGACGUUACCUGCAGAAAAAGGACCGGCUAACUACGUU
Molecule: ribosomal RNA, 472 nt
Filed under: uncultured bacterium
Lineage: Bacteria
Description: partial 16S ribosomal RNA
Rfam family: Bacterial small subunit ribosomal RNA
Source: RNAcentral